This 295-nucleotide ribosomal RNA is filed under the name uncultured bacterium. RNAcentral's name for it is "partial 16S ribosomal RNA". It matches the Rfam family "Bacterial small subunit ribosomal RNA", at positions 38 to 364 of the family's 1533-position model. The record is from RNAcentral.
GGCGGCGUGCUUAACACAUGCAAGUACGUUAGACUUUCGGGUUAGUGGCGGACGGGUGAGUAACGCGUGAGAAUCUGCCCUCAGGAGGGGGAUAACAGUUGGAAACAGCUGCUAAUACCCCAUAUGCCGAGAGGUGAAACGAAUUUUGCCUGGGGAUGAGCUCGCGUCUGAUUAGCUUGUUGGUGGGGUAAAAGCCUACCAAGGCUUCGAUCAGUAGCUGGUCUGAGAGGACGAUCAGCCACACUGGGACUGAGAUACGGCCCAGACUCCUACGGGAGGCAGCUGUGGGGAUUUU